RNAcentral lists this small nucleolar RNA (57 nucleotides) under Pyrobaculum islandicum DSM 4184. Its description in RNAcentral is "PISsR100". The record is from RNAcentral. Lineage: Archaea; Thermoproteati; Thermoproteota; Thermoprotei; Thermoproteales; Thermoproteaceae.
AUGAUGUACAGAGGUGGCCCCCUCAGCGAUUUUAUGAGCGAGGGUUGGGGGUGCUGA